Molecule: long non-coding RNA, 151 nt
Organism: Sinocyclocheilus rhinocerous
Lineage: Eukaryota; Metazoa; Chordata; Actinopteri; Cypriniformes; Cyprinidae
Exons: 2
Source: RefSeq, a predicted model, not a curated record
CAACCCACUACAAGCGCUUUAUUGUGAAGAUGUUCACGUUUGUGGAUCCAGCAUCACUGGCUCCUUUGCAGGAAACGAUCUUCAUCCACUGUAGUACAGCAGUGUGCCAUCCAUCUUCUGGCUCCUGUGAGCAAAGCUGCGGCAGGAAGAG